This 638-nucleotide ribosomal RNA is filed under the name uncultured bacterium. RNAcentral describes it as "bacterial SSU rRNA". It matches the Rfam family "Bacterial small subunit ribosomal RNA", at positions 88 to 724 of the family's 1533-position model. The record is from RNAcentral.
CCGGCGACCGGCGCACGGGUGAGUAACGCGUAUCCAACCUUCCGUACACUCAGGGAUAGCCUUUCGAAAGAAAGAUUAAUGCCUGAUGGUAUGAUGAGAUUGCAUGAUAGCAUCAUUAAAGAUUUAUCGGUGUACGAUGGGGAUGCGUUCCAUUAGGUAGUAGGCGGGGUAACGGCCCACCUAGCCAACGAUGGAUAGGGGUUCUGAGAGGAAGGUCCCCCACAUUGGAACUGAGACACGGUCCAAACUCCUACGGGAGGCAGCAGUGAGGAAUAUUGGUCAAUGGACGCGAGUCUGAACCAGCCAAGUAGCGUGAAGGAUGACUGCCCUAUGGGUUGUAAACUUCUUUUAUAUGGGAAUAAAGUGGUCCACGUGUGGAUUUUUGUAUGUACCAUAUGAAUAAGGAUCGGCUAACUCCGUGCCAGCAGCCGCGGUAAUACGGAGGAUCCGAGCGUUAUCCGGAUUUAUUGGGUUUAAAGGGAGCGUAGGCGGAUUGUUAAGUCAGUUGUGAAAGUUUGCGGCUCAACCGUAAAAUUGCAGUUGAUACUGGCAGUCUUGAGUGCAGUAGGGGUGGGCGGAAUUCGUGGUGUAGCGGUGAAAUGCUUAGAUAUCACGAAGAACUCCGAUUGCGAAGGCAG